ACGAACGCUGGCGGCGUGCUUAACACAUGCACGUCGAACGGAAAGGCCCUGCUUUUGUGGGGUGCUCGAGUGGCGAACGGGUGAGUAACACGUGAGUAACCUGCCCUUGACUUUGGGAUAACUUCAGGAAACUGGGGCUAAUACCGGAUAGGAGCUCCUGCUGCAUGGUGGGGGUUGGAAAGUUUCGGCGGUUGGGGAUGGACUCGCGGCUUAUCAGCUUGUUGGUGGGGUAGUGGCUUACCAAGGCUUUGACGGGUAGCCGGCCUGAGAGGGUGACCGGCCACAUUGGGACUGAGAUACGGCCCAGACUCCUACGGGAGGCAGCAGUGGGGAAUAUUGCACAAUGGGCGGAAGCCUGAUGCAGCAACGCCGCGUGCGGGAUGACGGCCUUCGGGUUGUAAACCGCUUUCGCCUGUGACGAAGCGUGAGUGACGGUAAUGGGUAAAGAAGCACCGGCCAACUACGUG
This 467-nucleotide ribosomal RNA is filed under the name uncultured bacterium. RNAcentral describes it as "partial 16S ribosomal RNA". It matches the Rfam family "Bacterial small subunit ribosomal RNA", at positions 29 to 507 of the family's 1533-position model. The record is from RNAcentral.